GCAGAGAAUAGGCCCAAGCGACUGUUUACCAAAAACAUAGGUUUCUGCUAAGUCGCAAGACGAUGUAUAGGAGCUGACGCCUGCCCGGUGCUGGAAGGUUAAGGGGAUCUGUUAGAGCAAUCGAAGCAGUGAACUUAAGCCCCAGUAAACGGCGGCCGUAACUAUAACGGUCCUAAGGUAGCGAAAUUCCUUGUCGGGUAAGUUCCGACCCGCACGAAAGGCGUAACGAUUUGGGCACUGUCUCAACAACAGACUCGGUGAAAUUGUAAUUCCGGUGAAGAUGCCGGAUACCUGCGACAGGACGGAAAGACCCCAUGGAGCUUUACUGUAGCUUGACAUUGGGUCUUGGUACUACAUGUACAGGAUAGGUGGGAGGCUUUGAAACCAGGACGCCAGUUUUGGCGGAGCCAUCCUUGGGAUACCACCCUUGUAGUACUGGGACUCUAACCAUAGGCCAUGAAUCUGGUCUUGGGACACUGUCAGGUGGGCAGUUUGACUGGGGCGGUCGCCUCCCAAAAGGUAACGGAGGCGCUCAAAGGUUCUCUCAGUACGGUCGGAAAUCGUACGUAGAGUGUAAAGGCAAAAGAGAGCUUGAUUGCAAGACAUACAGGUCGAGCAAGGAUGAAAAUCGGACUUAGUGAUCCGGUGGUUCUGCGUGGAAGGGCCAUCGCUCAACGGAUAAAAGCUACCCUGGGGAUAACAGGCUUAUCUCCCCCAAGAGUCCACAUCGACGGGGAGGUUUGGCACCUCGAUGUCGGCUCAUCACAUCCUGGGGCUGUAGUAGGUCCCAAGGGUUGGGCUGUUCGCCCAUUAAAGUGGUACGCGAGCUGGGUUCAGAACGUCGUGAGACAGUUCGGUCCCUAUCCGUCGCAGGCGUAGGAAAUUUGAGAAGACCUGUCCUUAGUACGAGAGGACCGGGAUGGACG
Molecule: ribosomal RNA, 926 nt
Filed under: Clostridioides difficile
Lineage: Bacteria; Bacillati; Bacillota; Clostridia; Peptostreptococcales; Peptostreptococcaceae
Description: partial 23S ribosomal RNA
Rfam family: Bacterial large subunit ribosomal RNA
Source: RNAcentral